GACGAACGCUGGCGGCGUGCUUAACACAUGCAAGUCGAACGCUGAAGACCUGGCUUUUGUUGGGUUGGAUGAGUGGCGAACGGGUGAGUAACACGUGAGUAACCUGCCCUCUUCUUUGGGAUAACGCCCGGAAACGGGUGCUAAUACUGGAUAUUCACUGAUCUUCGCAUGGGGGUUGGUGGAAAGGUUUGUUCUGGUGGGGGAUGGGCUCGCGGCCUAUCAGCUUGUUGGUGGGGUGAUGGCCUACCAAGGCUUUGACGGGUAGCCGGCCUGAGAGGGUGACCGGUCACAUUGGGACUGAGAUACGGCCCAGACUCCUACGGGAGGCAGCAGUGGGGAAUAUUGCACAAUGGGCGAAAGCCUGAUGCAGCGACGCCGCGUGAGGGAUGGAGGCCUUCGGGUUGUAAACCUCUUUCGCUCAUGGUCAAGCCGCAACUGUGGGGUGUGGUGAGGGUAGUGGGUAAAGAAGCGCCGGCUAACUACGUGC
RNAcentral lists this ribosomal RNA (487 nucleotides) under uncultured bacterium. RNAcentral's name for it is "partial 16S ribosomal RNA". It matches the Rfam family "Bacterial small subunit ribosomal RNA", at positions 28 to 508 of the family's 1533-position model. The record is from RNAcentral.